Molecule: non-coding RNA, 93 nt
Organism: Mycena metata
Lineage: Eukaryota; Fungi; Basidiomycota; Agaricomycetes; Agaricales; Mycenaceae
Source: the annotation of a GenBank genome assembly
AGUAGUAUGGUGUAGCGAAGCACACGGGGCUUCACUGUGUCGUUACCCACAAAGUUUCACCCCGAGGCCUUUGUUUGAACCAAGGUGCUGCUC